This 1001-nucleotide ribosomal RNA is filed under the name Lactiplantibacillus plantarum. RNAcentral describes it as "bacterial SSU rRNA". It matches the Rfam family "Bacterial small subunit ribosomal RNA", at positions 485 to 1533 of the family's 1533-position model. Lineage: Bacteria; Bacillati; Bacillota; Bacilli; Lactobacillales; Lactobacillaceae. The record is from RNAcentral.
AGUCAACGCGGUCUCAUAUUACGUGUGCCAGAGCAAGCCGGCGGUAAUACGGUAAGGUGGCAGCGUUGAUCCGGAAUUUUAUUUAGGCGUAAGCGAGCGGCAAGCGGGUUUUUUUAAGUCGAAUGGUGAAGCCUUCGGCUCCAAACCGAAAGAAGUGCAUCCGGAACCUGGGAACCUUGAGUGCAGAAGAAGGACAGUGGAACUCCAUGUGUAGGCGGUUGAAAUGCGUAGAUAUAUGGAAGAACACCAGUGGCGAAGGCGGGCUGUCUGGUCUGUAACUGACGCUGAGGCUCGAAAGUAUGGGUAGCAAACAGGAUUAGAUACCUGGUAGUCCAUACCGUAAACGAUGAAUUGCUAAGUGUUGGAGGGUUUCCGCCCUUCAGUGCUGCAGCUAACGCAUUAAGCAUUCCGCCUGGGGAGUACGGCCGCAAGGCUGAAACUCAAAGGAAUUGACGGGGGCCCGCACAAGCGGUGGAGCAUGUGGUUUAAUUCGAAGCUACGCGAAGAACCUUACCAGGUCUUGACAUACUAUGCAAAUCUAAGAGAUUAGACGUUCCCUUCGGGGACAUGGAUACAGGUGGUGCAUGGUUGUCGUCAGCUCGUGUCGUGAGAUGUUGGGUUAAGUCCCGCAACGAGCGCAACCCUUAUUAUCAGUUGCCAGCAUUAAGUUGGGCACUCUGGUGAGACUGCCGGUGACAAACCGGAGGAAGGUGGGGAUGACGUCAAAUCAUCAUGCCCCUUAUGACCUGGGCUACACACGUGCUACAAUGGAUGGUACAACGAGUUGCGAACUCGCGAGAGUAAGCUAAUCUCUUAAAGCCAUUCUCAGUUCGGAUUGUAGGCUGCAACUCGCCUACAUGAAGUCGGAAUCGCUAGUAAUCGCGGAUCAGCAUGCCGUGGUGAAUACGUUCCCGGGCCUUUACACACCGCCCGUCUCACCAUCAGUAUAGUAACACCCAAAGCCCGGAGGUCCAACAAGGAACCAGCCACCCAAAAUAAGC